AGAGACCCACGGAUGUCCCUCACCUUUUGAAUUUUCUUCUUCUCCCUGAACCGGCCAAAAACACAGCCGAGAGCCCCCUCCAAAGCCAUUUUUUCUUUUCUUCCUCAGCCUCCCGAAGACCCCACCUCCACCAGACCUCCACUUUACCCAUCGCAGCCACCGAACCAGCUCCCCCUCACUCUCUUCAUCAGACCACAAGCAACAAUAACCCAGCACAGCCAACACCCCAGUUCCUCCGUCUCCCUCCUGGCCA
This 253-nucleotide long non-coding RNA is filed under the name Populus tremula. Its description in RNAcentral is "long non-coding RNA (PTRE_LNC001302)". The record is from RNAcentral. Lineage: Eukaryota; Viridiplantae; Streptophyta; Magnoliopsida; Malpighiales; Salicaceae.